This 253-nucleotide ribosomal RNA is filed under the name uncultured bacterium. Its description in RNAcentral is "partial 16S ribosomal RNA". It matches the Rfam family "Bacterial small subunit ribosomal RNA", at positions 524 to 776 of the family's 1533-position model. The record is from RNAcentral.
UACGGAGGGUGCGAACGUUGCUCGGAAUCAUUGGGCGUAAAGCGCACGUAGGCGGCUCUUUAAGUCGGGGGUGAAAUCCUGGAGCUCAACUCCAGAACUGCCUUCGAUACUGUAGAGCUUGAGUUCGGGAGAGGUGAGUGGAACUGCGAGUGUAGAGGUGAAAUUCGUAGAUAUUCGCAAGAACACCAGUGGCGAAGGCGGCUCACUGGCCCGAUACUGACGCUGAGGUGCGAAAGCGUGGGGAGCAAACAGG